CUGCCAUCAACAGUAGAAGAAAUAGAGGAGAAAGAAGGAGAAGAAUAAGAAAAGAGAAGGAAGAAGAAGAAGAGAGAGAAACAGCAGGGGAACUCACCUACCUUAGACAGUUAUUGGACCAGGCCAGUACCAGAUGUCGAGACCAAUAUUCUGUCGACUUCCAGCCCUGAUUAUGAGGCAAUGGCUAUGGAUCACUGGCCUAUUUUCCAGAGGAUGAAGCUAAACAUGGAACCGAUUGUGACUGUGAUGAUUGUGCCUACGGAGGCUAGUGCCUCUGAACAGUAGGAAGUGGUUUUGACAAUACUCUCUUGUGUAAAUAUUUUCAUAUGAGAGUACUCUAAUGUAUUAAGCUACGCGAGUGAUGUAAAUCUUUUUGUGUAAAUAUUAUUUUGAUUUUAAGUUAUUCUGGAUAACUGUAAUAUAUAUGGUAUCACAUAGUGACACUGGGAAUGAUGUAAUUUAUUUUGCAAAGGGACUAUUUAUAUCCUU
Molecule: long non-coding RNA, 489 nt
Organism: Macadamia integrifolia
Lineage: Eukaryota; Viridiplantae; Streptophyta; Magnoliopsida; Proteales; Proteaceae
Exons: 2
Source: RefSeq, a predicted model, not a curated record